RNAcentral lists this long non-coding RNA (1347 nucleotides) under Dromaius novaehollandiae (emu). Its description in RNAcentral is "lncRNA (ENSDNVG00000001842.1)". The record is from RNAcentral. Lineage: Eukaryota; Metazoa; Chordata; Aves; Casuariiformes; Dromaiidae.
UGGCCCCAGAGGGCGGGAGGCAGUCGUGGGGGGUUUCACGUCCCCCAGGCGCCAGCCAGCCCCUCAGCACGGCCGCGGGCUCAGGGGACCCUGCAGCGCCCCGCUAUGCCCCCGCUGUGCCCGGACGCCGCAGGGCUCCCGGCGAGGCUCAGCCCAAGGAGCAGGGGCUGAGGCUGCAGGCAAGUGACCGACAGGGAAAUGAGAGUUUCAUUGUGUUUCAGGCCGAAAAGUGUUUGAAAAAUGCAGCAAGCUGCCCUGCACGUGGCUGCGGCUCAGGGAGCUGGCUUUCUGGCACAGGGCUUGUGGACAGAAAACUUUCACUGACUCCAGUCAAGUUCGAGCACUGAAAACUGCAGUCCAGGACAUUAGUCUACAGCCACGCAGAAAGUCUCUGAAUAGAGCUGUAGACUGAAUCCCCUGAGCCUUCAUGGUUAAGUCUGCCUUUGUACCAGCUCUGAAUUGCCAUGUCAGUCAACAUGCUUUAUGAGCUAUUGACAGAUGGCCUCUGAAACCUUGCUGCUGUGAAGAGUCUUUUCCUGAUCUUCAGGCACUUGUAGUUCAUCUCUGGACCUUUUUCCAGUUCCUCAGGCUCCAUUCUAAAUCAGUGCUGAAGUGCCACGCUGCCAGUGCUGGUUUGUGUGGGCUCUGGGCCCCUUCCUGUAUCAUCCAGGUGGAUUCGUGUCUUGGCAGCCUGGCUCAUAGCAGCGGGAGGCCAAGGCUUCAGGGGCUUCCUGGAUGGGCAGUGUUAUGAAACAGGUAAGCACUGAGUGUCUCUGCCUGCCACUCUCCAGGGAAUAGGCUUUGCAGGGCAGCUCGCGCCACGCGGCGAGGCACUCCCGUCUCCGGGAGUCAGGGCCAUGUCAGAACAAUGGGUGGAGAGCAGGAAACGCUGCAUGGGAAACAGGAUUUUGCUCCACCGCCGCCAGCCGCGGCCCCUUGGCCUCCUUCCUUUCCCUUGCUGAGCCCUGCUCAAGAGAGCUCUUCCCAGAGCCGUUAGUCCCCCCAGCUCCCCGGCGCCUCUCUCGCGCCAGACAUCCCCACAGGCGUUGGGAGCGUGCUGAAGGGCCGAGAAUACUGCUGUGCAAACGGGCUCCGGCGUGAGAUCUUCUCCUUGCGGGUGAGGAAGGGGGCUGAGAUGCCUCCCUGCCAGACUGGAGGAGUCAGCAUGGCUCUGGGUGCCUUGAAUACGCAGCUGUGAUUCCUCCGGGAACGGGGUCCCUGCUGCCCGACAGAUCUGCAGCUGGGGAACAGGCCUCGGCGGCUUCUUUGCCGCAAAGACCUGCUUGUGCUGUUCUGUUCCCAUCAUCACCUGGGCUGCCUGCGCCGAUCCCCAGGGCUGGCUGAGAU